RNAcentral lists this ribosomal RNA (459 nucleotides) under uncultured bacterium. RNAcentral's name for it is "partial 16S ribosomal RNA". It matches the Rfam family "Bacterial small subunit ribosomal RNA", at positions 28 to 507 of the family's 1533-position model. The record is from RNAcentral.
GAUGAACGCUGGCGGCGCGCUUAACACAUGCAAGUCGAACGGCACCCCUCCUCGGAGGGAAGCGAGUGGCGAACGGCUGAGUAACACGUGGAGAACCUGCCCCCUCCCCCGGGAUAGCCGCCCGAAAGGACGGGUAAUACCGGAUACCCCGGGGUGCCGCAUGGCACCCCGGCUAAAGCCCCGACGGGAGGGGAUGGCUCCGCGGCCCAUCAGGUAGACGGCGGGGUGACGGCCCACCGUGCCGACAACGGGUAGCCGGGUUGAGAGACCGACCGGCCAGAUUGGGACUGAGACACGGCCCAGACUCCUACGGGAGGCAGCAGUGGGGAAUCUUGCGCAAUGGGGGGAACCCUGACGCAGCGACGCCGCGUGCGGGACGGAGGCCUUCGGGUCGUAAACCGCUUUCAGCAGGGAAGAGUCAAGACUGUACCUGCAGAAGAAGCCCCGGCUAACUACGUG